UUUUGUUUUCUAUAAUUAACAUUGCUAACUUGCAAUACUUAUCAUAAUUAUCAUGCUCCCACUAACAUGAUGAUUAUUAGCAUAACACUUAUGCUCCCACUAGCUUUGACAUGUACUCAGAAAUCAACUGACUUCCUUACCAAAGUUCAUAUUUCUGAUACUAGAUUGUUUUGAUAAAACUUUAUCAAAAUCAUACACCUUCCCUUAGAUAGCACACUUGUGUGUCUAAACAAUUAUGAAGAGGGAUGCCGUAAUCAUAAUGGUUAGACCUUUUUGCCACUUCUCACAAGUCCAGGUUAGUGUGCCGGUAAACCACACACGCUCCACUAACGACUUUGAGAAUGCAAAUAUCACAAUUGCUAUCUAGCUAAAAUCUACUUAGUGAAAGUGUUUCCUCACCAUCAUUUUCAUGAAUCGGAGAGAAACCUUAUGACACUUAGAUUUACUGGUGUAUGUGUUCUUAUCCAUGUGAAUUGUCAAGACCUUAGUCACAGGAAAAGGGUAAUGACAAAUCCAAACUCAUAUCGAUUGAACUCAAUCUUAACUUCUUGCCACCUGGCAACUCAAGGGCCUUCCAUUGCUUCCAAGUUGUUGUGCAACACAUUGAGAACUCUAAGAACUCAUAUNCUUUAACUAGAAUGGGCACAGAAUAUGUCAACACGAUAGGUUAUAAACCGCAAGUCGUGUGCUAGUGAAGAACUUCAGGUUUUAUUCUUGAUUGGUUCUUGAGACUUUCAAGACCUUUAAGAAUCCCACUGUCCUCUUGACCUAUAAGACUCCCUUGUCAAAUAUCCAAGAGAUAGUGUGGAUUCUCAUCAAGACAAACACUUCACAUAAUUGGCCUAAGUUGGUCUUUGUUUUAUCCAAAACAUCACAACUUACCAAUUUCAAAUGUACAAGAGUAGAAAACUUUUACUCUUACAUUUGACAAGUGUUUUAAACCUUCUUUAAGACAUGUCACUCAAGUUACAAUCUUGGAGUAUGACUCUAAGACUUGUAUUGGAACGAAGUAUGACUCAUCUUCUUGAUUUAACCAUUUCAACAAUUCAAGUUCCUCUUCUUAGUCAUAAGAAUGCACUAAGAUUUCCUUAGAGAACUAAUUUUGAUAUGGUUUCUUAAUCAUUAAGAUGAUCACAAAACUGAUACUAAAGUACUCUCCCAUCUUUUCAGAUUUGAGAAACUUUUAUCCUUCUGCCUAAUUUGAUUCUUCUUAUUCGCUCUGCCAUACAUUGGAACCUUUUCCAAUGUCUCAGAGUUACACUUAAGCUUGUAAGUAUAAUCAUAUUUACUGAGCUUUAGUAAACUAUGACGAAUAGUCUUAUCAAUCUUUUGUGGUGGACUUAAUCAGUGCACAAGAAUGUGUACUCGAUCCCUUAGUCCUUUACUUGACUCACACAUCCAUGUGGCCGAGUAAUUAGUCUUAAUUUUCCAAAACUUGAAAGUUCUCAUUCAUCAUGCUAUACAACUUGCAUGAUUCCAAGUUCCGGUCCAAUUGAAACUUGGGUGAUGAGAAUCUUUCCUUAUUUGGUAAAUCUAGACAUUACCACAAAUGAAAGAAUCAAUUUCAUAUUUCCACUCUUGCUAUUAAUGGAAUCAUAUAAGCAACAAUUUUUCCUCAAAUGCCAUUGUAAGGAUAUUUUAAAAUAAAUAAAAUCAAAAAUUUUCUUUUAUUUUAAAACUUUGCGGAAAAACUUAUCCUUACAAUCCAUAUGAAAACUUGUUGUUAUCUAUUCCUAAGCAAUAUCUCAUAACUCCUAAGAAGUUGCUCAAGAAUCCGAUCUUCAAACUAUGCGAUAGAAAUCCAUCUACGCCAUCAGAUUCAGCAUAUUCUUUCUUUAAGUUUCUUCACUUUUCUUUGAUUCUUAAAACAUCACCAUGUGACCCAGUCACAUCAUGUAUCAGGAAUCUCAGAAUAGAAACUUAACAGAGUUAGAUAGUGGACUUUACCUGAAGUAGAGUCAAACUUAUUGACUUUAACAUCCUUAGGUAAAUUUGGCAGCUUCGCAACCAAUGCCCCUUCCUUUGGCAAUAUAAACAUAUGGACCCUUUGAUAAUGGUACACGAGACUAUCACAGACUUAGCUUUUCUCUUUACCAUUUGGUCAACCGAGUUGACUAUGGCCGAUCCCUUUCCAUUGGGAAGAGAAUGCUUUACUGGAUAUCCAAUGUCAUCAUUGUCAAUGUCCAUAAAGUUUUAGGAAGUUGAUCUUAGCAAAUAGAUAAGAUCAUUAAGGGUCUUGUCAUAGUCUGUUUCAUAGGUGUCCCAAAGGAACUCACUAUGUGACUUAGAAAGUGAUUGAACCACCAACUUUCUCAAGACUUUGACACCCAACUCUCCCGGCUUGUCAAUAUGUGACUACAUCUCCAAGAUGUGAUCACACCUAGACCUUGCCUUGCCAAUAGGGCUUGAGUGACCUUAAACUUUUCAAGAACUUGUGGGUUAGGGAGAAUAAUUGGAGGAGGAGAAAGAAGUAUGAUAUCCAUGGGACAUCAUCUUCAUUAGGAAACCUUGUUUCAAGAGAUUUGGGAAGAUCAUAGGUGUCUAAACCAGACAUCUUUUGGGAGAUAUUCAAGAUAGUUGAUUUAAAGUCCUUAAUAUGACACCCAAUAUGAAAUAUUAAGGCUAGGACCCAACAAACUAUUUUAUAACUUAGAAGAGGUAUGCCGUAAUCCAAGCUAUAAAAUAUUUGAAGGUAGGUGAAUGACGAUUCACCAAUUUCCACCAAGAUAAACGAAAUGUAUUAUUAGGUUUUAAUUGGUUUUGAAACUCCUAGAUCUUUGAGAUUCAUUGAACUGUUCAAAGGCAUGUUUCAAUCUCGAGUGUGCCCUUCAGGUUUUGUGACUGGGAUGCCGAGGAUCACAAAACAAGGUGUGAAGUAACCAUGCAAAUCACUUGGUACCCUUAAUAAAUUACCCCUCAAUCGAUGUGCCGGUUAACCACACACGCUCCAUCGAUACUAUGAUAAAUAUUAAGUCACCCUUUACCUACCUUGUUAAGUCCAAGUUAGUGUGCCGGUUAACCACACACGCUCCACUAACGACUUAGACAAAGUGUAAAGUGUAAUUUCAUGGAUUAGCACCUUAUUCACAUUUUUCCUAAGUAACUAAGAUUGGGUAUUAUUAAGAGUUUAGUUACUUAGUAUUAUCAUUAAUACUUUUAAUGAAGGGAGAAUUCUAGUCCUGUCAAACCCGUUCGGCUAACGACCCUCCACCAGUCAAGCAAGCGGUGGGUGAGAGUGGACACCCAUUAAGUUGCCAUUUUAUAGGCAACAACCUUAUACCCACCUUAUAGACCGGCUUCGUGAAUGAGGCGUACUAGCGGUAAGACUGACUUUACUCUUAUACAUAUAUAUAUUAUUAACUUAUAAUAUUAUAAAGUAUAAGGGUUGAAUUUUAACUUUUAAAAUUCUAAGGGCUAACUUGGAAUUAAAGUAUUCAUAAGUGAAAACUUUACAAAUUCCAAAACUUGAGGGCAAGUUUUGAAACUAUUCAAAACUAAUUAAUUCCAUAACUUAUGUGUUUAAAGUAGUUUUAAUCCAAAAACUCUUCAAGUUCCAUAACUUGAGGACAAGUUAUGGAAGACUUUAAACUAAUAAAAGAAUUAACUUUUCUUUAUUUUAUAACUUAUGGAAUUAAUUAAGGUUACACUUUUUUUUUUUUUAUUUUAUUUUAUUAAAUGAAGAGACUCUUGGUCCUCCAUAACUUGAGGACAAGUUAUGGAGUCAUAAAACCAUUUAAUUAGAACUAGACUCUUCAUUUUUGUAACCUUUGCCAAUUUUUAUGAGUUUUAUGAUUCUUAAAUGUGACUUUUCAUAUAACUUGAGGACAAGUUACAAAAACACAUUUUAGAAUCAAUUCUUAGAUUAAUUUGGAUUAAAACCAACUAUCACAUAAUUUUAUUCAUUAAUCUAAAUUCACUCAUAAAACAAGGUAACACAAAAAACUUUUGGUGAUCCAUAACUUAUUCUUAAGUUAUGGAAUCCUUUAAAACAUUAACACCAAAUUUUGUAACUCCAAAAAAACUUUGAAUCAAUUUUUUUUUUAAAACCUUUUCAUAUCCAUAACUUAUGGAGGUUUCAAAAAAUAAAACUCUUUAGAUCAAACUUUUAAAACUAAUAAAAUAAUCAUAUUAUUUUAUCUUUUAUUAAAUUUGACCUAAUUCAACUCAUAAAGCAAAUUAUUCAAAUUUUACAAAUAAUUAGUUUUUCACAAGAACAAGUAAUUAUCUUAAAAUUUGACAAACUUCAUGUUUUUUUUUUUUUUUUUUUUCAACUUUGAAAAUAAAAUAUUUGCAUCAAUAUAACAGAAAACAACCCGUGGCUCUGAUACCACUGUUGGGUUUUGAGCAUUCUAACACUUCCUAAGUGUACAUGCAACCCUAAAUACCUUGGAUCUAUGUUUUCUCUAUUAUACAUGCAAAUAAGAACAUCCAAGGUAUUAUCCUAAUCUAGCAUACAAAAGUGAAGAGUGUAACAAGAUAGAAUACAUACCUCUUUGAUGUAGAAAGUCUUCAUGAAGCUUGAGUGCCUAGCCCCAAUAGUGUGGAAGCCUCAAAUGGAAUCACAAUCACCAAAACACUUAGAAUAACUUGAGAGAAUUCUACACUUCAUGAAAUCGGCUAGCCCUUUUACUUCACACCCUAGUUCCCGAUUUGGUCAUGAAUAAGAUGCUUAUAUAGUUAGGGUUACACCAUGUAAACCCUAAUUGACAUGGCCUUUAAUUUCCAUGAUCCAUGGGUACAAAUACACCAUGGAGCAUCCAUGGACCAUCCUAUGGGUUUUAGCCCAACUUGAUUAUCCAUGGAGCAUUAGCCCACUAUACAAGUAUGGAUGAUUUACACAAUCAACCCAUAUAUUUAAUUAGUCUUCUUUUGAUCACUUAAUUAAUCCUAGAUUAAUUCUUGAUCAAUACUAAUUAAAUAAUCUUAUUAUUCUUAUUAUUAAUAUACUAGAACUUAUAAUAUAUUAAUAACCAUAAGUGUCUUAUUUCUCUCAUUAUAGUCUAUCCAAGUGCAUGAUGGUAUGCAACCCAAAUGGACCAUGUCGGGUCGGGUCAAGUCUUACCAAUUAUAGUUAUGGACUUAGACAAUAAUCCAACAAUGGCUUCACCCGCAAACUUACAACACUUUAACACUAUCUGGCUGCUAGUGAAUGCUAUGGGUACACCCGCAGACUUACAACACUCUAACACUAUCUGGCUGCUAGUGAAUGCUACGGGUACACCCACAGACUUUUAACACUCUGACACUAUCUGGCUGCUAGUGAAAGCUACGGCUACACCCGCAGACUUACAACACUCCAUAUUGGAUCGACCACGCGCUUGACCUGCAUUCAGCUGAAUUCAUGCCCUGACUGGAAUCCCCAACCUGAUUCCCUAAGGCUUGAUAGCAAACAUUACGAGAACACGAUCUCCUUAUUGGGAAGUUUUUCUGAACUUCCAUCUCACACUCUCUUCAAAUCAUACAACCGCUUGGGCUUUCUUCCUUCCUGAAAAUGAUGCAAAACUUAUCCUAUCUUCAUAACUGCUCUUGCUUCAGAAUCCUGGGUGAUUCUCCCCCACUUUGAUUCAGCUAAUGCUCUACAACACUCAAAACUGAAAAAAUUCUCAAUUCUUCCUACCCUCCCAUGACCAAUCUACUAGAACUCACGCUUAUCCUUGCUAGGGUUUCGACACCAGCUAACCCAAAAGAUCAUACAACUUCUAAAAAAAUCCGAAUAAAUCUUUGGUAAUAACCCGCUAACCCAGGAAGCUCUGAAUCUCAAUUGGAGGCCUCGGAAUCUCCCACUGCAUCACGACCUCUAUCUUGGCCAGAACGACUAGAAUACCCUUCUGAUUGACAAGGUGCACAAGAAAUUGCACCUUGCGCAACCAGAGCUCACAUUUGGAGUACCUUGCAAAAGGACACUCCCUCCUCAAAGUCUCUAGCUCCUCCCUCAGGUGCUUCUCAUGAUGCUCCUCAGUCUUGGAAUAAACCAAGAUGACAUUGUACUCUCCCAAUCUUGCAAUUUUGGAAAUGCUCUAUCACUACUCGCUAAUGUUUCUCAGUAUGCAAUUGGCAUAUGACAUCUCUUGAAAAAAUAAUUUAUGCCCAAACUGAGGAUAACUCAGGGCUACACUUACUCAAACCCUUGAAACGAAAGACUCCAUUGUGUAGUUUCCCGCAUGUGCUGUACUGAAUCUAACCCUGCUGGUCCUUCAUAAGCUUAUCCAAAAUCUAGGGUCUUCUCCUGAGACACCUGUAUAUAAGCAAAUGAUCUAAUUCCCUCUAACCAAUGUGCUCCAAGUCCAUAUCUCGUUCUCAAGAUUUAGAAGUCAUAUCAUUCAGGGUCUUGCACCCCGAGAUACUCACGAUCUCCCUGCUAUCAUUCUAUAGUAUGUUCUGAUAAAUUACCUUCUUCAUUUCUUCAUCUGCUGCAUACUGUGGUACCAUAUAACUCUGAAAUCCCGAAACAUCAGCGUACGAGUUCCUAUCAUGACUGUAACCUCAGUGCAGAAUGCACUCGGCCUCUCAUCACAAAUCUCUAUAAUGCCCUCCUUGAUCAUACUAAGGAUCACAAGAGUCUGGUCAAUGAUAUUGCACAUAAUCUCAGAUGGAAUGAACUCCCUCAUUUGAUCAUCGAGCUACCCGACUACAGAGUCUGAGCCUAAUCCCUCGUCAACACCAGAACUACCAUCUGGUCUACCAUGUAGCGUCACUAUACUCGAUAAUAUACCAUUACUAACAUCACAAUACUCAUCAGAACUCGAGGGAUCUCACACACUACAAGUUCCCUAGUCUUAUCUUAGCCUUCCUUGAUUCGAGUACAGAUCCUCUACUUUUAGUAGUACGGGCCCAUACUACCUUCCACAUCUUUUUGUACUUUCCUCAAGUACUGCCUCGACUCCACCAAGUCCCUUCUACUACUAUUGUUGAUCUCUUGCUAAUCUCAUCCUAGGCUUUCCCUAGGGUAAUCACCAACCCACUCUUCGACGUCAGCUGGAUAAGAAGUCCCUGCCUUAUUCCCCUAACUAGCUUGCGAAUACUAUUACAUAUUACUCAGACUAGAUAAUUCUUCGAAUGAGAGAUCCUACCCUACAACGGUUGGACUCAAACAAGAGCUACAAAAUAGAGCUAGACCUAACCUUCUAAAAUUAUUUAGUCUUUGCAAUAUGUAACUUAAAUAUAUUCGUUUACUAGUUAGUGAAAGACAACUAGAACUCCUAAAAGCACAAAGCAAGCAACAUUCGGGUGUUGAGUACACAUAAUCAAGCAUAUACUACUCUGGCUACAUACUCACUAAUAUGUACUAGCAUGCAAUUCUCAAUAAGCUGGUACACAUAUAACAGGCACAUAAGGCAUCCUUCCUAGAUCCUUAGCCCUAAACUGACAUGCAGUUCUCCUAAAGUUGAUACUCAUAUUAUAAUAUGAUCUUGUAUGGGUAAUUUGGUAGUACUUACUUAAGCUCAGCUGAUUGCAUGCAACACACCUUUUUCCUUUUUCAAAGUUCUUUUCUUUCUAAAAUUUUUUUUCGUUUUUCUAAAACUCUUUUCUUUUGAAAACUUUAUACCACAUCCUUAGUUUGAGUUCAGACACACCCAAAAGUCUGGCCGAAUCCCUCAAACCAAGGCUCUGAUACCAACUUGUAAAAUCCCAAAAACACAGUCUGAAAAUUUCGUUUAAUUUAAUAAUAAAAACCGUAGUCAAUAAACCUCUUUAAAAAAUCAUAAGAAAUGUAUCUCAAAAUAUUAUAAAAACUGUCAAGUAUAUUAGAGUCUAAACAUCCCAGGCUGAACAAAUGGUGUGUGGACUGUAAUUUCCCCGAGCUCCUCUUUUGAAAACUGAGUACCUAAAACCAAAACUAAAAUUGUAAGCACGAAGCUUAGUGAGCUCCCCCAAACUGCCACAUACCAUAAAAUAACAUAUAAACACAUAUUGGGCCUUGCCCACUGCAUCGUACCGAAGUCAGGAAACUGCAUCAGAACGAAGUCCAGAACUGACUGGGACCCCAUCCCCUGCAUUGGACCGAAGUCCGGAACUAACUGCAUCAGACCGAAGUCUGGAACUGACUGGGACUCUGUCCCCUGCAUCGGACUGAAGUGCGAAACUAACUGCAUCCAAGUGAAGGCCGGAACUACAUCAGACCAAAGUUCGAAACUGACUGGGACCCUGUCCCCUACAUCGGACCGAAAUUCGGUAAGUGACUGAACAUAGCUUAACAUAAACAUAUCAACUGGCAUGACUACAUAUACUGCACACUGCAUCGGACCAGAGUCUGGAACACAUAACACAAAACAUGCUUGAAUCACAAAGACAUCAAGCACUCUAACUACUGCAUCAGACCGAAGUCCGAAACAAGUAACAUAUAACAUGGAAGCUAAAUCACUGCAUCGGGCCCCGCUCGGUAUCGGACCGAAGUCCGGUACUACUAACACCUAAACGGGCCGGCAUUGUGGCCUUAGACCCAUUCUACUAGAAGAGGACUCACCUCACACUACUGAAGUCCUACUGACAAACCAUAACUGCUGGAUGACAGAUUCCCGAUCUGUCAAUAUCAAAAUAACACCCAAUUAAUAAUUCGGUUCCACUACAUAACUAUAAAUACAUACUUUGGAUAAUUACUACAUUACCCCUAUCUUGGCUUACCCAAGCCCAAAGCCCAAUCCAUAGGCCUAAAGUCAACUAGGGAUCAGAGACCAACACAUGGCCCAACUUUCCAAAUUGGGCCCAAAUCUCCACAUGGACUUCCCUUAAGUCCCAAUUGUUUAGUCCAAUCCAACAUGUCUCAUUCUAAGGCCCAAUAUCAUACAAUCAUCUAGGCCCAAACUAUGGCCCAAUUUUCCAAAUUGGGCCCAACCCUUCAUAUGGGCCUUACCCUAAAGCCCAACUAAUUACUCUAGUCCAUUUGAUUAUUCUUGGAUGUCCCAACACAAAGCCCAAGUGAAUAUUAAGGUUUUCUCACUUAGCCCAUUAAGGUCUUAAUCCAUUAAGUCCUUUACUCUACUAGAUAGUUAAUAUGGAGAAAUUGCGCUUAAUACAUAAUUCAAUCUCAAUGGCACAAAAGUAGGUCCAAUAAGUCCAAGGCCUAAAUACUCACAGUUAGGGUUUUGAUCUAAACAUGGCCCAAUAGGCCCAAAAUUAAUCUUUAAACCCAUUAGGGUAUUGGCUAGGUCCAUUAGGGUUUUGCUUGUGGGGAACCACCCACUACCACCUCGGGUAGUGGUGCUCAAUCGGCGGUACACGGCGGCGGCUACCACCUUAUGGUGGUAGUUACUAUUAUUAUUUUCAUUAUUUCAUGCUAAUUACAAUUACAAGCCUUUCAUCCAAAAUACACACUAACUAAUACACACACAUAGCCACACCAUGGUGGCCAGCAAAAUAGGGCAGAGACGGCAACCCAGCGGCAUUAAUAGCAAUAGCCACCAUGGCCAGCCGCCAUGGUGGUUCUUCCCAGUUGUCGGCGAACAACCCAGCACACAAUAGAUCUGGAAACGACCUCCCGCCAGGUAGCGCACGACGACCGGCAACAGCACAACCUUGGUAGUCGGCGACAGAUACUACAUCAGUGGGAGAAGGUGGCAGUUGGACAGAUGGCAGCGGCUGGAGAAGGCAUCGGAACCGCAACAGUGAAACACCGGGACAACAUCCAUUGCACAUCGUCGCUGGCAACAGAACGGUAGCAACAUCGGCGCCAACUGCCGGAGAUAGCGGCGGCAGGCGCUAUCGACUUAUUACACUUCAUCACCGCCGGCACAAGUACUCCAUGUUGGUUCUCAUUGCUGCCUGUGACAAGGGCUGAUCGAUGGUGCAAGGUGGUCGGAAGAGGAAUGGGUGGAUGGUGGCGAUGGCGCCGGAGGCAAGGAAGAGGUGGGGUGACGAUUGCCUCUCUUCUUAGGGUUAAGGAUUGGCACCCGGUGAUGUUGGGUUAUAUACUUGACUCACGAAACUUUGCCCCAUAAUGACAAAUUAAGCCCUUCCUUUCCCUCAUUUCUAUCAAAGUAAUCCAUAUUUUACACUUUUAACCCUACCUUUAGAAAUCUAUACAACUGAAUCCAAAACUUACCUUUUAAGCCUUGAUCCCAUAAAUUUCUUUCAUAAUAGACCCCUAAAUUACCAGUAAACCCUUCAAUCUUCAAAUCUUUUCUAUUUAGGUCCAUAAAUUACCAAACGCACCCUAACCUCCAAAAUCCUUUUCAAUUUAGUCCCGAACUUACACUUUUAACCCUUGACUUUCAAAAUUCUUCACAAAUUAGUCCGGGACAUAGAUUUAUCAAUUUAUUUAAAUAAACGAGCGUUAUAGCAACCCUCUCAGAAAGGCCUUUGAACAACAGAGUGAAGAGGCCAUUCCAUUAAGGAGGAAGUCAAGACUUCUUGACUUUAGUCACUGUCGUGAGGAGUUCUGUAUACCCCAUAUUGUAGAACAUUGAAAAGAGCUGAGCAGUGGUGAUGGAGUCAGGGAUGACCAUGGAGGCUUCGUAAGAAAGCUUUAGAAGUGAGCAAAAAUAAUACUCGGAAAUCGACGUCUUUUGAUCUAGAAUGUCAAAGAAAACCCUCUCUUUUGUCUUGUCGUAUGUUGCAGUAGAGUACACCCGAGAGAGAAAAGACAUUGGAUCUGAUUCAACCUGCGUCAAUGAUAUAAAAAGUGGAGAGUACUUGAGACAUUCCACCAUAUUAAGCAUAUAUAGAUCAUAUACAAAUGAUGUGAUAUCGAUCAGAAGGUUCUGAUUCGCCUUGAUAGAGAUAAGAGUCGAUCGAGCAGAAGUCUCGUGCACUGAAGAAGAUUCUGCCAUUGUUGAAGCUCAAUGAAGAAAGAUGAUGAACAGUGGAGGAAAAAUUGUCAGUAUUUGUCUUUGAGAAGUAUGAGAGCGGUAAAAGGGUAAAGGUAAUUUGAGAAAACCCUUUAUACUGUUAACUAGAAGACAAAAACAAAUCGCAAUAAUAUCACAGGAGAAAACAUCUCAAUCGACGCCUAGGAAAUUGUGAUUGGACAACUGUUACAGCGAAAAAGGCGAUGACAGGCGUGACAUCAGCUAUCGUUUCAAAUUCACGUGCCUUUCUAUGUUUAUCUCAAAAUUGGUUUCCGAUUCUAGACCCUUGAAAUUCAUGCUGACUCAUCCUUUUGCUUUUAAAAGAGUCCAUUCUAUCAUAAUGAACCGUAGCUACAUUUCUGAAAAUAGAACCGCACUUUGGAAAAUCAAAGAUCUCUGUGCAAGAUAGUGUCAAAUAUAAAGAAAUAAAGGAAAUAAUUUGUGAGAUAUAUGUGAUGUCUAGGAAGACAUAAAAAGUGGAUCCUGGGCACGAAUCUCUACCUUCAAAGUUAAGAGAGACUUCAAAGUGCUUAUUUGGUUUCCCGUUGAAUUACGAUCAAAUGCCUGUAAAGGGAUAUUGAAAGGCAUAUUUUCAUAUAAAGCUAUUAGGGUGGCUUUCGCUUCAAUCCAUACAUGGGUACUUGACAUAAGACCGAAAAUGGAAGAAGUACUUGUGAGACCGGUGUAGCCUGUUAAAAAAGUAGGUUUGGGUCUUUUUCAGUGACUUGGUGAUAUAAAUAGGAAAUCUCAAAAACAAAACUAGAACUAGAUCUUAUGUCAAGAAACAUCUUGGUGUUAGACAAUUUCAUAAAGAUCACACAAAAAUAAAAGGAGAUUUCUUGAGAUAACAAGUAAUAGCUUGAACGUGUAUGUGAUCACCGUUAAUUCAUUUAAGGUGUUGGAUUUUAGGUUUCACUUAGCACUUGGUGAACAUAUCUAAGAUCAUCAACACAGAUGUUGUGUAACCAUAAACCUCAGUGGAAAUUGCUGAGAGUCUCAAGGGUUACAAUUGUGGAGCGAAACGAGAUGGACAAAUAAGAUAAGGUGGUUAAGGAGUCGUAAGUGCCUAUGCUAUUUGAGAAUGACAAAAUAGAAAACUGUUAACUCAAAAUGACAAGAGUAAGGUAGCUCAUGACUUGAGUGAAAUUAGCAGCCUAAUUGGGAAGAAAUGAUUGGUUUCGAUCGAAUCAUUAAGGCUUCACUCACAGUCUUGGAGGCUUCGGUCUACAUACAACAACAUGCUUCUAGGGACACUUAACUAGUACAAAGAUAGAAAUAUCAUACCUGCCCUGGAUCCAAUUGGUAUAGCUUAUGUGUUCUUCAAACCUUAGGUAGAAAAGAAACAAGAACAAAACAAAACACAAAAAGAAAAUAUUUUUGAUGUUUUGAAAAAUAAUAAAAAUAGAAAAUAUUUUUGAAUUUUAUUAAAAGUAAGAGAAAAACAUAAAAUAAAUUAAGAUACAAUAAAGUGUACAAAAGAUACAACUGAAAUGUCACCAUUGUAUAUGAGGCGAAAUGGACCGAGCAUUCAGUUCAUUUUGGUUCCCGAAAAAUCAGGACCCGAAAUAGACCGAGCGUUCGCUCUAUUUCACUUCCAACUUUUAAUGACGUGAAAGCGAUUUCAGUAUGGAUUCAGCUUCCAUCAUUCCUAAGCCUUGUAAGAUUAUAUUAAAACUUGCUUCAUGCAAGGCUUUUGUAAAGAUCUCAGCUAAUUGAUCAGUGGUUCUUACAAAAUGUAUUUCGACAUUACCGUGUUCCGCGUGAUCCUUAAUAAAAUGAUACCUCCGUGGUAUAUGUUUCAUUUUGGAGUGUUGCAUUGGGUUGUGACAUAUCCUUAUUACACUUUCUAAGUCACAAUAUAAUGGAAUUUUCUUCAUGUUCAGGCCAUAGUCUCGAAGUUGGCUUUGUAUCCAAAUGACCUGUGAUGUACAUGAUGUUGUAGCUAUAUACUCUGCUUCAGCUGUAGAAAGAGACACAUAGGUUUGUUUCUUCAAUUACCAGCUGACAAGUUUGCCAUCAAGGAACUGGCAUUCUCCAGUAGGGCUCUUUCGGUCCAAUCCACAUCCUCCUAGAUCAGCAUUAGAGAAUGCCUUGACAAAGAAUUUUGAGUUUGAUGGGUACCAUAGACUGAGAGAAGAGGUUCGCUUCAAAUAUCGAAAGAUAUUCUUCACACCCAAUAGGUGAGGUUCACAUUGAUUAGCUUGAAACCUGGCACAAUAACAAACAGAAAACAUUAUGUAUGGUCAACUUGUUGUUAGAUACAUCAAGGACCCUAUCAUUUGAUGAUAGAGGGUCAUGUCAGCAACCGGUUUUUCUAGAGAAGGUGUUAACUUUGUGCCAAACGCCAUAGGAACCUUCACUUUUGAGUAUCCCAUCAUUCCAAACUUGAAUCUCCCUUCUUUGUCCAUUUUGUUUCGAAAUACCCAUUUCAGUCCAACUACAGAUGCAUCCUUUGGUGUAGAAAUUAGUCUCCAUACCUUGUUUCGCUCAAACUCAUUGAGUUUGUCUUGCAUUGCUUGUAUCCAAUCAUAGUAAUCGAGUGUAGUGUUGACAGUCUUCAGUUCAAUUUUGGAGACAAACGAAUUAAACAUGCCAAAUUCCACUUGAGAGAAUAAUGUAGUUUGCUUCGCUUUCAGUUGAGAAUGAGUAAGAACUCUUUCUGAUGAAUCACCAAUGAUUUGUGUUUUUGGAUGAUCUUUUGUCCAUUUGGUGAGAGGAGGGUAAUUUGAAUCAUAGGAGGGAUACAACUCAACAUUUACUUCUUCUUCCAAUUCCGACUGAGUAUCAUCAUCAUUUGUAUUUGCAUUCUCCCCCUUAAAUGAUGAGACAGUUUCGGCUGCAGGCAUGGAAUUCUCCCCCUCAAUUGGACGUUCGGUUGAUAUGGUAGUUGAUGGUUUCUCCCCCUGGAAUGGUAAUUUAGGGUUAUCGGAUGAAGAUGAACCCUCCCCCUGAAAUGUAGAACUUUUUUUUGGAGGUUCGCUUUGACUGGCCUAUUUGGUAGUUCUCGGUUGUUCUUUUUCCAUAUCAUUCGCUCCGUCAUCAAUGAUUUGCUUCACAGUAUCAAUCUCUUUGUCAGCUACCUUUGCUUUAGAGUGAAUAGCUUUCUCUGGUUCAUCAAAUAAUGACAUGUAUUGCUCAAAUAGAUUUUAAAUGGAAAUAGUGACUUCACCAAAUGUUGGAAAGAUUUCCUCCAUUGAACGUUCGGUUGUUUGAAGCUUUUUGGCGUAGUUGUCAUCAAAGGUGACAUAAUAGGUUUAUUCAAUUUUCUUGGAAUGUUUGUUUAGAAUCCUAUAUGCCUUCGAGUUUAAUGAGUAGCUAAGAAAAUGUUGGAUUAGUGUCUAAGUCCAUAACUAUUUUGGUAUGUACUUGACCCGAUUAUGAGCAUGGUCCUUUUGGGUUGCCUUCAUCAUAGCAAUAUGUAGGAUGAAUUAAGGAGAGAAAGGUUUAAUUAUCAUUUAUUAAUAUAUUAUGAGAAUAAUAUAUUAAAGGAGAAAUCAUAUUUUUUAAUUAAUAUUAGUCAAGAAUUAAUUGAUAAAUAAUUUUGUGGCUAAUAGAGAUUAAUUAAACUUAGGGGACUGCAGUUGUAAUUAUAAGAUAAUUAUAAUUGGGCUAUGGAUCACUUAAUAAAAUAUAGGUUGGACGAAUUCUAUGGAAAGCCCAUUAGAAAUCGUCCAAGGGAUAUGUUGAAGGAGUCCAUGGGCUGCUUAGGGCUUAAGCAGUCAGAUUAGGGUUUCCUAGUUGUAAACCCUAAUAGCCUACAUGUAUAUAAAGGACCCUUAAGCCCCAAAAACGUGGAGAACACUUCCUUUAGGGUUUCUAGACGUUUUGGGCAGCCUCCUCUCUUCUCCUCUUCAUCCAGGUUGCUUAGUGGUGUUUGUGACUCCAUUAGAGGUGCAGCACUUGAGGCACUAAGCUUUCUAAGGCCAAUCCAAGCAAGGAAUUGAUUGUUAUUGUUAUAUAACAAUCAAAGGUAAUUCUCUAAACCCUAAUUCAGUUUAUUAUAUGUUAGAUUAGGGUUUAUUAGUCUUGGAUUCAUUGCAUGUACAAAAGAGAAACCUAGAUCCAAGCAUUAGGGUUUGUAUGAGCACAUAGGAUUGUUCUUAUGCCUAAAACCCAUCAGUGGUAUCAGAGCCUUGAUUGGUUUCUGUUGUAUGUGUUGCAAUUGUCGAAUUCUUGCUGAAAAAAUGAUUUUUUGGCCUCUGCCCGACCUGAUUCGGCGAGUCAGUGGAUGAACUCGGCGAGUCAGUCUGACUCGGUGAGUCCAGUCCCAGACUCGGCGAGUCCAGGGGUCAGAUAGAGGGAAUAUCGGGAUUUCUUGUUGUUUUGCUGAAGGAUUAAUACCAAAAACGUAUUUUGAUGAUAAAAUCCGAUUUUUAUUAUAUUUGGAUGAUUAUCCUUCAUAAAACAAAAGAUAAUUUCAAAUCUUUUGAAUAAUAGUUUCCUUAUUAGUAAAUAUGGAUUAUUUAAAUUAUUUGGUAAUUAUCUUAUGAAUAAAAUGAGAUUAGGUCAAAUAUAGAUAAUCACCAAAUUAAUUGUUUAUUAUGUUAUUUGUUAUAUGAUCCCUUAUGUUUUGAAAAGUUUCAAAACUUGCCCUCCAGUUUUGGAAUUUAUAUUUUGAUUAAAAAGUUUAAUUUUGAAAUAUUUAAAUUCUGAACCCUAAUGUUUUGAAAUGUUUCAAAACUUGCCCUCAAGUUUUGGAAUUUAAAAGUUGAUUAAAAGUUUAAUUUUGAAAUGUUAAAUUCUAAAACCCUAGUAAUUUGAAAAGUUCAAAUCACACCCUUAUGGUUUUAUUAAUUAAUUAAAGUGUAUAAUUAAAAGUGAUUUAAUAAACCCAUAAAGUUUUGGUUUACAUUUAAUUAAAUUAAAAGUAUAAUUUACUAAAUUAAACCACCUAGUAUUUUAAAAGUGUAAAAUACACCCUAUACUAUAUAUAACAUUAAAAGUCUAAUAUUAUAUAUAUGUAUGAGUAAACAGUCAGUCUUACCAUUAGUAGGCCUCAUUCACGAAGCUGGUCUAUAAGGGGUGUUUAAGGAAAUUGCCUAUAAAAUGGCGAUUGAAUAGGUAUCCACUCUUACCCACCGCACUCUUGACUAGUGAAGGGUCGUUAGUCGGACGGGUAGGAUAGCACAGAAACGUUCCAUUAUAAGUAUAAUGAAGUACAAAGUAACUAAAUGCUUAUACGAAUUCCCAAAUCAUAGUUACUUUAGGCAAAAUGUGAAAUUGUAUGCUAACCCAUGGAAUUACACUUCGUACCCUUGUCAAACGUUAGUGGAGCGUGUGUGGUUAACCGGAACACUAAUUUGGGGACGAAAUUGGUGGUGAAGGGUGGCUCGAUGUUUAUCAUAGAUCAAUGGAGCGUGUGUGGCUAACCGGCACAUUGAUUAGGUGAUAGUAGCAUCGGGUGCACCAUGUGAUUCGUAUGGUUAUUCACACCUUGUUUGUGAUCCUCAGCAUCUCAGUCACAAAUAGUAGGGCAUAAUCAAGAUUAAACAUGCCAUUGGAAAGUUCAAUGAAUCUCAAAAGACCUAGGAGCUUCAAUUCAUUUAAAACUUAAACUUCUUUUUCGUUUUUCAUGGUGGAAAUUGGUAAAUCGUCAUUUACCUACCUUCAAAUAUUCUACAACUAGAUUACGACAUCCCUCUUCUAGGUUGUAGAAUAUUGUGUUGGAUCCUAGCUUGAUGUUUCAUUUGGGUGUUACAUCAAGAAUUCUAAUCAACUUAACUUGAAUUUUCUCCCGUUUUGUAGAUGUCUGAAUCUUACAAUGGUCUUCCCAAAUCCUUUGGAACAAGCUUUCCAAAUGAGGAUGACGUUCUGAGAUACGAUCAAGGAAAUGAGAGUCAUGCUUUACUUCCUCCACCUCCUCCAAUUGUUCUCCCUGACCCACAAGUUCGAAGGCUUGAAAAGUUCAAGCUCACUCAAACCCUUUGGGCAAGUAAACACAAAGAUGGAAAAUCCGUGUGUGCACACAUCUUAGAGAUGAAGUCACACAUUGAUAAGUUAAGCAUGUUGGGUGUCAAGAUUUCAAGUGAGUUGGCAGUUGAACGGGUUCUUCAGUCACUUCCUAAAUCAUAUAGUGAGUUCGUUAGAGAGUACUAUAUGAUGGAUCACGACGUGACCCUCAUUGAUCUCACCUAUUUGCUUAUAGCUGCUGAAUCAACAAUGAUUUGGCGUGUUGGUCAAGCAAAUUUGUCUAGUGAAUCAAACUCCCAAACUUCAAUGGACACUGGCAACAUUGGAAGUCCAGAAAGAACUAAGUUUGUGAUUGUCCGGUGUGGUGUUCCAAAGGAGUCCGUUUGCUUUUAUUGCCAAGAGAAGGGGCAUUGGAGACGUAGCUUCCCUAACUACCUGAGGGAUCUAAUAGAUGGGAGAGUCAAGAUGUAUGGCUCUACUUCAGGUAAAAUCCAUUAGCUAACUCUUUUAAGUUCCUAUUCUAGAUUCUUAAUACAUUAUGUGAUAAGAUUACAUUUUGAUGUUUGGUUGGAUCGAAGAAAAGAGAGGAUGCUUAAGGGAAGAAGUGAGCUGAAUCUAAUUGUAAAGAAAUGGAUUUCGAUCGCAUUGCUUGAAGAUUAGACUCUUGAGCUACUACUUGGAGUUAGAAUAAAUUGUUAAGAAAGAUGUAAUAUCAUAGUUUUUCAAUUGAAUUGCUUUGUAAGGACAAAAUUUUCCACAAUAAAAAUGAAUUUUGAUUUUGUCUUAUUUAUUUAUCCUUCCAAUGGCAUGUAUGAAAAAAAUUGAUGUUUUUGAAGGUUUUUAUUAUUAGCAAUAAUGGAUUUGAUUCUUAAUUGUAUUAUUUGUGGGAAUGUCGAGAAUUUACCAAAUAGGGAGAGUUUCUCAUCGCCCAAGUUUCAAGUGGACAGAAACUUGGAAUCAUGCAACGUGUAUUGUAUGAUGAAUGAAAAACUUUCACAUUUGGGAAAUUUAGACUAAUUCUUUGACAAAGUGUCAAUUGAAGGACUAGGAGAUCGAGUACACUAGGUCGUAUGUUGAUCAAGUCUACCACAAGAAUGAAGAAGAUAUCCGUCAUGAUUUACUAAAGUUUAGUAAAUAUGGUUAUAUUUAUAAGAUUAAGUGUAAUUCUGAGUUAAUUGAAAAGGUUUCAAUAAAUAGCAGAACGAUUAAAGAAGAAUCAAGUAGGCAUAAAGAUAAAGGUUUCUCUGUUCUAAGAAAAAGGGAGAGUACUUUUAUUGUGUUAGGUCUUAAUGGUUAAGAACCAUAUCUCAAUUGAUUCUAUAAGUGAGUCUUAGUACAUUUAUAUGUCUAAGAAGACGAAUCAAGAAUUGUGGAAUUGGUUAAAUCAAGAAGUUAAUCAUAUUCGUUCCAAUAUCGAAUCUUAGAGUCAUACUCCAAGAUUUCGAAUGGAGUGAAAAGUCUUUAGUAGGUUUAUAACAUUUAACGAAUGUGGGAAUUUGGAAAAGUGUUCUUAUUCUUGCACAUUAGAAAUUGGUAAGUUGUGCUGUCUUGGAAAAGGCAAAGACCAACUAGGACCAAUUUGUGAAGUGUUUUGAUAAAAGCUACACUAACUCUUGAAUAUUUGUUUGUCAAGAAAUGUUUCUUGAUACGAGAACCUUAUAUGUCAAGGAGUCAGUGGGAGUUUUAAUGUUUUUGAAAAAGGUUUCGAAAACAAAUCAAGAAUAAACCUUAUCGAUCAUCACUGGCACACGACUUCAGGUUUACAACCUAUCGUGUUGACAUUAUUUUGUUUCGGUGCCAUUCCAAUUGAGUUAAUUAUUCAUGUGAGUUCUAUGAGUUCUCAUUUGAAUGCAUAAAGACAAAUCACAUUGAUCAAUGGAAAGUACAUUGAUAUGUAAGGAUAAGUUGCUAAACUACUUGGAAGACAUGGUGGGCACUCAUGUUACCAUAAGGCAAGAAAUCAAGAUUAAGAAAGUUCAGUCCAUAUGAGUUUGGAUUUGUCACAGACUUUGGUUUUGGCAAAUUCACAUGGAUAGGAACUCAUACACCAUAAAAUCUAAGUGUCAUAAGAUUCCCUCCUUCAUGAAAAUUAUUGUGAGGAAAUGCUUUCACUAAGAGAGAUUUUAAGAAGAUGGCGAUUGUGAAAAUUGUAUUCUCAAAUUUGAUUAUGGUUACGGCAUCCCUUUCCAUAGUUCGAGUUGUGAGAUUUGGCAAUUAGUUUGAACAUUUGGAACUUAGUAACAUAAGUUCUGAAUUGAUUAAACACACGUAUGAGCUAUCUAAGGCAAAGGUGUAUAAGUUUAAAAAGCUUAGAUAAAGGCUUAUCAAAGCAUCUGGUAUUAGAAAUACGAAUUUCAGAAAUUCAAUAGGCAUUGUUUUCUGGAAGUUCAUUUGUUUUCUGAAUACAUGUCAAAGCUAGUGGGAGCAUAAGUGUUAUGCUUAUAUGAUAGUAAUCAUCAUGAUAGUGGGAGCAUAAGUGUUAUGCUUGUAUGAUUAUUAUGGAAAGUAUUGCGAGUUAGCAAUAUUAAUUAUAGAAAAACAAAGAUUCAAUUUACAAAGUUGCAUGGGUUGAAAAUUUGUUUUGCUAUUAUCAAGGGAGAGAAUAUUAUACUUCGUUUCAAAAUCUAAAGCUUAAACUGAAAAAAAUUUAAUAUUUUUAGUCAAAGGAUACAUUGCGUGUUCUCAAAUUUCGAUUAUGAUUACGACAUCCCUCUUUAUAGUUCGAAUUGUGAGAACAUGACACAUAAAAUAUUAUGGCAUAAGAUUGGUAAAGUAUCAUAUCUUUAUGUAAGACAUUAUGCAUCGUGUCCCAUAAGCUUCGAGUAUAGGAUCGAUUGAAAAUGCUAUAAUAUUUUACCAUUCUAAAAUUUUCCAAAUGUCUAGCGCAUUAAGAGGGAAAAAGGACUAGAAUUGGUUUUGACUAAAAUAAUUAAACAACUAUCAAAGGACGAUCCAAAGUUCGCUGAAGAUUGGUCGCUUGUGAGUAGUUGGAAGUAUGGUAUUGGAUGGACCAUAUCGACGUUAUUAUAAAUAGAUAAGAUUCUAUUAAGAUUGAGUUGUCAUAUGGCAAAUGUGGAAAUGUUUCCAUAUUGGGAGUUGGAUAUUGAGAGUCUAUGUCUAGAUUAGAAAAUUUUAUGCGAGAAGGGUGUUUAAAGGAAUGUACUUUGAAUGUGAAACUUCGCGUCUAUGGAAUUGUGUUGUAACAAUUUCUAAGAGAGUACUUUGUAAUUUCAUUAGCCAAGUCUUGGUGACUUUUGUGCUAUGACUUUACGAAAGGAUCGUUGCAUAAAAUGUUAGAAUCUAGCAUAUUCUACUGGUAGCUAAGAACCUUGUGUUCUUACACUAAUGAUAAGGAUUGAGAAUUGAGAAAUGAGCAUCAUUGGAAAAGUUUUCAAUUGAUCUAUUUCACAAAGCAUAGACCAUAGGAAACAAAGUGUGCAUGCUUGGAGCAUGGAACAAUCGUUGUUGUAAUUCAAGUAAUGAGUUGAUUAUUCGAAACAUUAAAUGAUAAAUAAUGAGUAACCAAUAUAGUGGAUAAAUAGAAGUGUUUUAUUUACUCUCACAAGUUUGGGGCCAUAUAGGAUUAACUAUUAUUAUUAUGUUUCAGUUUGCAUGUUUUGACUUCCAGAAUAACUAGGUUAUUCAAACAUCCACAGUCGGUCAUACGUUGGGAGUAGGUAUGAAGGAAGACUGUCAUGAAUCUAUCUGUAGAUUGUUUGAAGUGUUUAGACAUGGCACAAGUUUACUACAGAGUUUAUGAGUGCUUUGAUAAGAUUAGAGUAUUGGAUUAAACCCACGCUCACUUGGAUCACUUUAUGGAUUUUAUCCCAAGUGAUUAGUGAGAUGAUAAUAUUGUAUAUUCUUGAAACUGAGACGUGUGAGUUGUUAUUUGCUGGUCGGUUACACAUUGAUAAUAAGUAAACGCACCAGUAACUUGGUGUUAUAAAACUUAUUGUUGUGUGUGAUUCGAUCAGUAAAUUCAAGCGAGCAUUUGAGUCGAAGUUUAUCCAUUCCUUUUACCCAAAGUAGGAUAAAAGCGGUAUAUGUGGGCCUCUCGAUGAUUUAGUGAUGAAACCUAAGCGCUUGGCCAAGCCGGGACUAAGUUGAUGUGUUAAGUUGUAGUCUGUAAACAGCCGUCAUAAAUCGGAAGUCGGGAAAUAGUAUAGAGAGAAUGAUUAAAAUUCAUGUCUUAUGUCUAUAUGAUAUCUUGAGAAUGGUGGAAUAUAUGAUCCCUUAUCUAAAGCACACACUAUCUGAUAAGAUCAGAGUUGACAUCGACUUUUGAAAGCUACAAUUGCUGAUCAGGUUCUGAAGUCACAUGGAAAAUAGUUAUUAGACUUAUCCAGAGAGAAGACUGUUGGAUUAGUGUCUAAGUCCAUAAUUAUUUUGGUAUGUACUUGACCCGAUUAUGAGCAUGGUCCUUUUGGGUUGCCUUCACCAUAACAAUAUGUAGGAUGAAUUAAGGAGAGAAAGGUUUAAUUAUGAUUUAUUAAUAUGUUAUGAGAAUAAUAUAUUAAAGGAGAAAUCAUAUUGUUUAAUUAAUAUUAGUCAAGAAUUAAUUGAUAAUUAAUUUUGUGGCUAAAAGAGAUUAAUUAGACUUAGGGGACUGGAGUUGUAAUUAUAAGAUAAUUAUAAUUCGAUAUGGAUCACUUAAUAAAAUAUAGGUUGGACGAAUUCAAUUGGAAGCCCAUUAGAAAUCGUCCAAGGGAUAUGUUGAAGGAGUCCAUGGGCUGCUUAGGGCUUAAGCAGUCAGAUUAGGGUUUCCUAGAUGUAAACCCUAAUAGCCUACAUGUAUAUAAAGGACCCUUAAGCCCCAAAAACGUAGAGAACACUUCCUUUAGGGUUUCUAGACGUUUUGGGCAGCCUCCUCUCUUCUCCUCUUCAUCCAAGUUGCUUAGUGGUGUUUGUGACUCCAUUAGAGGUGCAGCACUUGAGGCACUAAGCUUUCUAAGGCCAAUCCAAGCAAGGAAUUGUUUGCUAUUGUUAUAUAACAAUCAAAGGUAAUUCUCUAAACCCUAAAUCAGUUUAUUAUAUGUUAGAUUAGGGUUUAUUAGUCUUGGAUUCAUUGCAUGUAAAAUAGAGAAACCUAGAUCCAAGCAUUAGGGUUUGUAUGAGCACAUAGGAUUGUUCUUAUGCCUAAAACCCAUCAGAAAAACCCCUUUGUCAGCGUCGACAUCAAACUUGUUUCGGUGCACCUUAUAAUUAAAAAUAACGCAUCUGGAACCGAACACAUGGAAGAACUUGACAUUUGGAUUACGAUUGUUCAAGAUCUCAUAUUGAGUAAUAGAAAAACGCUUGUUGAGAAGAGAUAUGUUCUGUGUGUAGCAAGCAGAAGCAAUUGCAUCAGCCCGAAAAUAUAAAGGCAAUGAGGCAAAACUGAGCAUGGUGCAGGCUGCUUCACACUACGAGUGGUUUCACCUUUCAAUGACACCAUUUUGUUGUGGAGUGUAGGGAGCAGAAAAGUUGUGAGAUAUGCCGUUUUCAGCAAUUCAAAUUCAUUGUUUUUGAACUCCAGCCCAUUAUCACUUCGAAUAUUUCUCACCAGCUUUCGCAGUUGAAGCUCUAUUUGCUUGACAAAAACCUUGAGCUUUGGUGUAGCCUCUGAUUUCUGAUUAAGAAUGAACACCCAAGUGAAACAAGAAAAAUCAUCUACUAUUACUAGUAUAUAUUUGUAACCACCAAUGCUUUCAAUAGCCGAAGGUCCACAUAAAUCUAUAUGUACAACCUCAAGUGGUUCGAUGAUCUUCGUGUUGACACGUGUUGGAUGACUUUUCCUGCUUUGAUUUCCCAUUUCACAUGCAGCACACAUAUGUUAUUUAUCAAAUUUGAGUAUUUGAAGUCCUCACACAUGAUCACCAAGAACUAGCUUGUUCAUGACUUUGAAGUUGACGUGCGAGAGCCUUCGGUGCCAUAACCAACAUCCGUCUGAGUGUGCUUUCGUUAGCAGACACACAGCUGGCUUUCCUCGAAUGGGAUUGAGGUUCAGUGGGUACAUCUCACCUUUUCUUUUGGAUUUUAAUAGAACCGUUUUGGUCUUCUUCUCUACUAUUUCAGACACUUCAUCAUCGAAUGAAACCUUCAGUCCAUUUCCCACCACCAGUUGUGAAACACUGAUGAGAUUGUGUUGUAAGCCCUCUACGUAUGCUACUUUUCUGAUCGAGAAUUCACCAUUUGUGAUCAUUCCAUAGCCUUUGAUUGUGCUAAAUGACUUGUUGCCAUACUUGAGACAACCACUAUCCAUAAGAGCUCGAAACUCCCAAAACUCUUCCUUUCUCCCUAUCAUGUGACAUGAGCAGCAACUAUCAAUGCACCAUUUGUCGUCGAACUACUCGUCAUGUGUAACCUGCAAAAAUCAAGCAGAUUUAGGAACCCAAAGUUUCUUGGGUCCAUGUGAUUACCAAUUGAUGAGAUAAAAACUCUUUAGAUCGACUAGAUCUUUAACAGGUAAAUAAAUAAGACCAACAAACAAAAGAACAAUCAAUGAAUCAAUCCGUAUGUCGAAUGAUUAAAAUAUUCUCACCCCUCAAAAGAGCUCGAUUAAGAACUGAAGAGAUAAAAUCUCUAAGAUCGUUUAGAUCUUUUACAGGUUAAUCAAUGAAGAACAAACAAUUAUAAUAAACAAAAGAAUGUACACAAGAUGGAAUCAAGGUAAUACUGAAUGAUUCAAAUGUAGUCACGCCUCAACAGAGCUCUAUUAAGAACUUCCACUGUAGAGACGAUCUAGGGUUUACAAUACGAUGAUGAAAAAUAGUAAAAGUCAUAAUUACUAAGGAUACGUGCAUGCACCUUAAAUACUGAAAUCCAAGAAUAAAAGAAAACACGGUUGGACAGGCCCAAACCGGUUACAAAAUUGGGGUAACUAUGACCGAGCCCAAAGAUGCAACAUUCAGAACUCAACAAUCUCCCCUUUAGGUCAAUUGGGGUGAGACCUUUACUUCGGUUGAUUGACAGUUACUCACUUCACUACCUUUAACAAGCUUGGAAUUAUAGCAAGAACAACUUGUCGAAAGUCGAUAUACCAUCUUAUCAUAUAUGUGAAGUACUUCUUAUCGCUUUCACUAUUUUGCUUACAUCUGUGAAUGAUUCCCAGAACAUACUCAAAGCACGAAGUAGUAAAGAGAUGUUUAUCAGUUAGAGCGAACAUGCAUUUCUUACCUUCUUGCAUGGUGAACAUCACCGAGUUCAACUUCAGGUUAAUCUUUCCCAUUUUCAUCUUGUUGACAUCGCUUGCAGAACCAACAGGAAAAAUGGUAGGCUUCUUUCUGAGAACUGAAGCGAUCUCUUGAUCCAUCUUGGCUACCUCUAGAAUGUAGCAGACUAACAUUCUUUUCAGAUGAUCAAUGAUUGGCUCAUACUCGACUGGGUCAGAGAAGAAUGUUGUGUAGAACAAUCCAAUCAUGAGGAUUGAGAUUAGGUAUAUCAGCAAAGGAGAAGGUAUGCUCAGACUUGGCCGAACCUCUGGCAACCUUGAAUUUGAUGUUGAUGAAUUUCCAUGCUACGUGAGGCUUAAGGACCCGAAUUGUGAUAAUUUUUUGAGCACUCCAACUAAGAUAUUUAGGUUGAGCGAACUCCAUAUAGUAGUCUAUUAGCUCAUGAUCAAUCUUCGGGUCUGGAUGAGGUACUACUGCGAAAGGAAGAAAGCAGUGAAAAACAAACGCCUUCCGGGUGAUUGGCAUAUCGAACUGAGAGUCUCUUGUAUUUUCACAAUCCAAAGACACUACUGGCUCAAGCCAAUGAGUGCUAGGGGAAUCGAUGGCUUCUUUGAUUAGCUUUUCCGGAGUCCAGAGCGGAAAGAGGGUUUUCUUGCUUUCUAGGAGAUCAUGAGCCUCUUUUAAUCUUCUUUCAUUCUCUUCAGCUUCCUUUACAAUCUUGGCAUUGAGAUUGAGUUCCCUUUUCCCUUGCCUUUCGCUUCAGAGCAUCAACUAUUGUCUCCUAUUCCUCGUCACUGUCAUCCACAAUACCCUUGCCUUUAUCCUUAAAGCCCGAACCCAAAGAAUGCUCAGUCUUCUGUUGUCCCGGCUGAGUAGUAGGAGGAGGUUGAGACGAAGAUGUUAGUUCUUCUCCCCCUUGUUUCGGAGGUACCAUAGUCUCUGAAACACCUUCGAUGUGACUCAACAUCCCAAGUGCAUGACGGAAUUUUUCAGCAAGAUGACGUCUAACUGAUAUGGUCAAGAUAGGUUCGUCAGUCUCCAGAACGUUCGAUAAAUUGGCGUGUACGUCUGAGACAUAACUUUUGACGACAACCUUUUCAGAAUGAAGGUGAUCUACCUCUUUGUUUGCCUAGGAAAGUUGGAGAUUUUUGUUUUUCAGCUGAGUAGUCUUGAGAGCGAGUUCAUCCAUGAUCGAGCUUUCCAUGGCUACAUCAGCUUGGAGAUUUGUGAGACGCUCAUUGAGAGGGGACAUAAGGGCAACAUUAUCCUUUUGAAUGUUCUGGCGAAGGGAGGCAAAUUGUUACUUCUCAGUAUCAAAGGAUUCUUCAAGUUUGGCAAUGGAGUUGUUCACUUUAGAAGCGUUCAACUCAACUGCUCCUUGUAAAGACUCAAGAAAAAUAUUAGCGUUAUGAAUUUGUUUAUCAACUUUUUCAGUCGCUUCUGUGUAGACUUUGGGUAAGGCUGCAAUUGCAUCUGUGGCUUUAGAGAUUGAUGCUUCAUGAGCUUUGACAAAAGUGUCAACCAUGCUCUAAAUAGAAGCUUCAGAGUAAGGAUGGUGAGAGGAAGAAGAGGCCAUGAGAUUGUCGAUUUUCUCAUUUAGCUCCUUGAUGUGCUUUUUGGUAAUGGGAGCAUCAUCAUCUUCAUCACUCUGAACCCGGUAGGGACUGUAGUAGAAAAAAUCAAAAUCCAUUUCUUCACCACCAAGGACAGUAUUGGUUUUGCUUGAAGGUGUGAGAGAUAGUGGUUUGGAUGUUUCAGGGACUGAAGACCGAACCCCCGUAUCAGAUACGUUGGUCCGACCUUCAGUUGUUGUGGUGGUUGUAGCAUCAGAAAAAAUAGGAGGAGGAAGUGGAAUUGUAGAAGUAGGUUGUGAUUUGAUAACUGGGAAAGUGGGAGGUAAGGAAAUUGGAAUGGAAACAGGUGGAGGAGAAGGUGCGUUUGAGCGAACUGGUACCUCUAGUGUAGGCGAUCGAGGUGGGGUAUCACCACGAACCGAAACCUCCUCAUCAGAGCUUUCGCUUUCGGAUGUGCUAGGAGUGGGUUGUUUAUGUCCAAUAGGGAGAUACUCGGAGUCUGAGUCGCUCGAUGACUGAAGGAUAAGCUUCCAAGAAGGCUUCUUGGUCUUCUUCUGCUUGGGCUGGGAAGGUGCUGCCUUCUCAGACUUUCGCUUCCUUGGAGUUUGCCCCUUAGCUCCUUUGAUAAACCUUUCGUCUUUCUUCUUUUCUUGUUUCUUUCCCCUGUUUUACGGCUUAUCUGCUUCCUCAAUGGAACGAAUAAUUGCAGGUGUGAGUUCCCUUGGGCCCAAAGAUGGAAGCUUCUUGUACUCUUGUAUGACAUUACUCGCCUUAGACACACAAGCAUACAUGGAUGCUAGAAUCGAUCCAAUAAGCAAGUACUUGGACGGAUCAGUGACUAUAAUAGUUGUAGUGUGGAAUGUUGCGAUGGAGGAGAGAAGCGAUUCCGCCAUGAUUGUGACAUGAAAACAAUCCAUCCCCCGUUUUGUGACAAUAGACUAGAACCUGCCACAUGAAACUUCAGAAUGGCGAGAAGAGGAGGAUAAGCUUUGAACAAGAUGUUGCCAUAGGGCCGAACCAAAUUCAAGAUGUACCCCAUUGUACAACCCAUAAAGCAUGGUCAUAAACGACUUGCUUGCCCCAUCUGAUCCAUCGCUUCGCUCUGAGAAACCAUUGAACAGGAGAGUGAAGAGGCCAUUCCAUAGUGGAGGAAGGCAUGAUUUCGUGAACUUCUCCACGGUUGUUAGGGUUUCUGUAUACCCCAUGUUAUAAAACAUUGAGAAUAGUUGACCAGUUGAGAUGGAAUCAGGGUUUACCAUGGUAGGUUCGUGAGCAAGACCUAGCAGCAUGCAUAAUCGAUUCUUGGAAAUCGAGGUCUUCUUGUUGUGAAUAUCGAAGUGGAUACUCUCAGCGACUUUGUCAUAGUGAGCAGUUGAGUAGAUAUGAGAGAGGCAAGACAUGGGAACAACCUCUACCUGUGAGAGAGCGAUGAUAAGUGGAGAGUAUUUGAAGCAUUCCAUAACUUGCAGCAUGUAGGGUUCAUAGGUGAAUGGUGUAAGGUCAAUUAUGAGGUUUUGGUGAGGCUUGAUGGACAGAAGGGUGGAACGAAUAGAGGUGUCUUGAACAGAAGACGAUUCUGCCAUGGAUGUAGCUUGAGAAGAAGAUGAUGAACAGUGAAAGAAAUUGUCGUUUUCCUUUAGGAGAUUAGAAAGCGGUAAAAGAGUAAAGGUGAUUUAGAGAAACCUUUUGUACUUGGGAUUAGGAGAGAGAAAAAUCCACCCAAAAUCUUGUCUUUUGUGAAACGGUUCCUGAUACAGUGGGGAUUAGACAAUUGGCAACCCAUAUGCUUACACAGGAGAGAGAAAACAUUUCAUUUUACGCGUCGUUCCAUACAAAUCGCCUUUUUCAAAAUCGUCAAACGUUUGGAUAUUUGCUGACUCACCCCUUUACUUUAUUUGAAACGUCACCAACAUAAAUAUCAUGAAUCUAUGUCAACUUGAUCAUUUCGUUUGAGAAUCACCAUGUCACUUUUAGAACCCAAGCUACAUAUUGAAAAAUAGCUUAUACAAAAUAGAACCGGAUUUUUGGAAAAUCAAAGAUUUUCACGCAUAGAGUGUGAAAGAUAAAGAAAUAAAUCAAACUUUUUAUGGGAUAGUGUGAUGUUGAUUAAGACAUAAAGUAGUGGAAACGUUCCGGAGCGGAGGACGUCAUGAAUAUCGCAACCAAUGUACAUAGUAAGCGUAGUGAACACAAAACGUUACAUUACAUAGAAUUAUUACAUUUGUUUGAAAUCAAAGCGUUACAAGUUUUAUACACAUAUAUCAUAAGAACAAAAGAUAAGACGGGUCUUCUAUGUACUCAUCAUGGAAGCCUUUGGAGGUGUUUAAGGGCAAUUUAAGACCAUAAAAAGGUGUUUAUGGUCCAUGAAUGAGGGUUUACGGUCCAAGAAUGUUCUUGGGCCGUAAACUCAUGUCCAUACCUCAAUUUGUGAGAUUUUGGGGUCCUAAGCUCAUGCAUGCAAGUUUCUAAGCCAUAUCUAAGCACUAGGAGUGAUUUGGAUGGGUUUUGGGGCAUCAAAACCCUCUUUAGGAGUGUACACGGUUUUGGAAGGGCUAUUAAACCAUAAACACAUGUUAUUGAGUGUUUUGGGUGAUUCAAACAUAGAUUUGCAUGAUAAGAAAGACUAACAACAAGCUAGGAUAGAUUACUUACCAAAUUAAAGCUUGAAAGGGGUUUUUGGAUCAAACUUGAGUUUUGAGAGAGUGAGAGAGAUAGAGAGUAGUGAGAGAAAGUGUUUUAAGAGAGAGAAAAAGCCUCAAAAUGAUGUCACUAAAUCCCUUAUAUAGGGGUUGAGUUUAUGGCCCAGAGAAAUUCUACUCGAUACCGACGUUAAACAGAGCUUUUGGUCGUACCCGAUUAAUUUGCUGUAACUCAACGUGGUCGUAACUAAUAAUUUUCUAAAUAAUAAUUUGGGAUGUUUUCAUGAGUUAACGUGUUUGGAUACCAAUUAAGUCAUAAUAGAAGUCUCAAAAAUAUUGACUUAAUUUAAAAGCUUAAACGGAAACAAUUCGAAAAAGAUGAAUUUUAUGGACGGAAACGGGUUACGGCGAUGGAGCGAACUUCGGGCUCUCACAUGAUCCCCCCGUUAGAGGGAAUUUCGUCCCGAAAUUCAAACUUUAGAUGCGACUCGCGGAUUUGGAAAGAGAUUACGGAUACUUCUGUUUCAUCGGAAUACGCACUCCCAAGUGAAUUCAGAUCCUCGCAUGACAUUCCAGGGAACCUUUCACUUAUCGGGAUACGGCUUGUUUCACACGUUUAAUCUCUUGAUCUAUGAUUUCGAUUGGUUCUACUAUGAGGUUCAGAAUUUUGUUGAUUUCGGUCUCAUCGAAGGGAUUACGAGGGUUUCGCCGAAUAUGUACUUCUUAAGGAUAGAGACGUGGAAUACCGAAUGGAUGGUGCUACGUUCUGUGGGUAGUCGGAGUUUGUAGGCUACGGAUCGAUCCUAUUGAGGAUUUCAAAAAAUUCUAUGUACCUCGAGAUACGCGUUUCAGAAUCUAACAUGCCUUCUUUCUCACCAUUAGCUAUCUUCAUGGUAAACAUUUCAGUUACUAGUUCAGGACUAUGUUUGUGAAGAUGUUCGAAUGAAUAGCUAACAGAUUAUCUUUUAGUACUAGAAUUGAAAAGGAUUGCAAGCAUAAGGGUUAUCGAAGAGGAAUAUACCUGUGGCAACAGUGGGAUCGGCGGCUGCCUCACCUUGUCCUAUAGCUAGGACUCUUUCAGUGUUGCCAGUUGUUGUUGUCUUGGGGAAGUUUCUCUUAUAAUGCCCGACUUUGCCGCAACCGUUGCAGGCCUGACUGAUACCUGCUUCGGAGACUUGAUUGGUUGGUGUUCUACACCUUCACGCAAGGUGACCCUCUUGGCCAUAAUUUUUGCCAAAUUUCACACGACAGGGACCGGGGAUGUGGUGGUGGUAACUGCAUCGGUUACACCACGGGAGAAUAUCGUCAUAUCCGGUGAUAGGUGCUUGGGUUGAGGAACCGACGAUAGAAACAGCAACAGGGGUAGUGGCAGCGUGGACUGCCACUAUCUGCUGUUUCUUCGAGAACUCUUUUGAAGGCUGACUUUUCUCCUUCGUCUCCCAAUAUUAUCUUUUCUCACCACUUCUCUCUGUCGGCUCAGGAGUGGUGGCUGCUUCCUCUAUGUCCUCAGUAUGGUUGAUCAGGAUUUGCGCUAAGCAUUUGGUGCUGUCGUAUGUAUCCGGCAUCGCAGCUAAAACAUUCCAUUUGGUUGGCUGGGUCAACCCCAAGAUAAACUUCUCAAUCUUCUUACUCUCUAGGGUAACCAUCCCCGGACAAAGAAGCACCAAGUCGUCAAACCUUGAAGUGUAAGCGGCGAUAUCAGAACCCUUCAUCUUCAGGUUCCAGAGUUCAUGCUCCAGCUUCUGAAUUUCACCCCGAGGGCAGUACUCCGCGAACAGAAGUUCCUUCAUGACUUCCCAACCCAUAGCAUUGGCUACAGGUAGGGUUAAGGAUUUGACUCGGUUGUUCCACCAAGUCAGAGCUUUAUCGGUGAACAUGCAGGCGGCGAAUUUCACCUUGUCGGAAUUUGAACAAGCAUAGAUCUCGAAGAUAGAUUCGAUUUUUUCUAACCACCGAGUUAGGGCAAUGACACCUCCUAUGCCAUCGAAGAAUGUGGGGUUCGCGUUCAUAAAGUCCUUAUAGGAACACUCCUUCCGGUGUCCCUGGCUACCUUCUUGAUUUUGGGGCUGGGGACCACCUCCUGGACCACCGGGGUUCANUGCCACUGCGGCAGCAACAGCUGCCUGGAACAAUACGAGAUCAAAUUGGGGGAGGAGGUGGUGGCGGAGGGUUGUUGUUGUUCUUUGAGUUGGGUCUCUCACUUGGAGGCAUCUUGAUCUAAAAAGAUCAAGAAAGAGAGGAUGGUAAGUCCUCUGAAUUCAAUUAAGAGAUAUGGAACUAGGGAUACCUCUUUAUGACAGACAUAUAAUUCUAUUAAGCGAUANNNNNNNNNNNNNNNNNNNNNNNNNNNNNNNNNNNNNNNNNNNNNNNNNNNNNNNNNNNNNNNNNNNNNNNNNNNNNNNNNNNNNNNACGCUGGGAUGAGAAUUUCUAUAACGGAUUUGGCUCGAGAAAUACUCCCAUAGUAUUUCAUGUCUCGCUGCAACGACGGCUCGUUGUUUGGGUAUUGGGUAUGUUUUAGGCAUGUCGUAUACCGCAGUCACUCCCAAGUACAUGUUGGCUGUGUCUCGAAUGAAUAUAGUUGGCCAGGCUAUAUUGAUCGUAGACACGACUACAUAACUGCCUUGGUUUAACCGUAGUGUACAACACGCAUUUACUUAUGUUUUGUUCUACUUGUAGUUACGGAUUUCGACGGUUAGGUAUACUUGUAUACUUAUGGAAAUACUUAUAUUUUAAAGUAUACUUUUAGUUCAGAGCACUUAUUCCCCUUAGUGUUUAUAGUCUUAUACCAUGUAACAUUUGGUAUACUAGUUCACUGUAAACAAGGGCUCUGAUACCAAUCUGUCAUACCUCGAAACCGAAGGCGGAAACGUUCCGGGGCGGAGGACGUCAUGAAUAUUGCAACCAAUGUACAUAGUAAGCGUAGUAAACACAAAGCAUUACAUUACAUAGAAUUAUUACAUUUGUUUGAAAUCAAAGCGUUACAAGUGUUAUACACAUAUAUCAUAAGAACAAAAGAUAAGACGGGUCUUCUAUGUACUCAUGGAAGCUCAUGGAAGCCUUUGGAGGUGUUUAAGGGCAAUUUAACACCUUAAAAAGGUGUUUAUGGUCCAUGAAUGAGGGUUUACGGUCCAAGAAUGUUCUUGGGCCGUAAACUCAUGUCCAUACCUCAAUUGGUGAGAUUUUGGGGUCCUAAGCUCAUGCAUGCAAGUUUCUAAGCCAUAUCUAAGCACUAGGAGUGAUUUGGAAGGGUUUUGGGGCUUCAAAACCCUCUUUAGGAGUGUUCACGGUUUUGGAAGGGUUCUUAAACCAUAAACACAUGUUCUUGAGUGUUUUGGGUGAUUCAAAUAUAGAUUUGCAUGAUAAGAAAGAUUAACAACAAGCUAGGAUAGAUUACUUACCAAAUUGAAGCUUGAAAGGGGGUUUUUGGAUCAAACUCGAGUCUUGAGAGAGAGAGAGAGUAGUGAGAGAAAGUGUUUUAAGAGAGAGAAAAAGCCUCAAAAUGAUGUCACUCAAUCCCUUAUAUAGGGGUUGAGUUUAUGGCCCGGAGAAAUUCUACUCGAUACCGACGUUAAACGGAGCUUUUGGUCGUACCCGAUUAAUUUGUCGUAAGUCAACGUGCUCGUAACUAAUAAUUUUCUAAAUAAUAAUUUGGGAUGUUUUCAUGAGUUUCUAACGUGUUUGGAUACCAAUUAAGUUAUAAUAGAGGUCUCAAAAAUAAUGACUUAAUUUAAAAGCUUAAACGAAAACAAUUCGAAAAAGAUAAAUUUUAUGGACGGAAACGGGUUACGGCGAUGGAGCGAACUUCGGGUUGUCACACCCUUUGAAAUACGAUCAUGUACUUAUUAAGAAGCAAUGAAAGGAAUCUUUUAUAUAUAAGGCUUGUAAAGGUGGCUUUCUCUUCAAUUGAAGUUUCGGUUCUUGAUAUAAGACCGAAAGAGAAUGAAUUACCUGUGAGACCAAUGUGGCCUGUUGAAUAAGUAGGUUACACACACAUUCAGUGACUUGUUGAAAAUCCAAUAAGAAAUAUCAAAAAAAAAAUCUAGAUCCUUGGGGAAAAAGAGUCAUGGGGAUAGACAAUUUCAAAAGGAUCUCUCAAAAUAAAAGGAGAUUUCAUGGUAACUCCACAUAGAGUGGUUUCGUUAAUUCAUUGGUGAAAACCGAAACAUAUUAAUUGUUCACCGUCAAUUCAUUAUGGGUAUAGAAUUUUGGGUUUCACUUAGUACGUAGUAACACGAGACUAAGAUCAUAAACACAGAUGUUGUGUAACCAUAAACCUCAGUGGCAAUUGAUGAGUGUCUUAAGGGUUACGUUAAUGAUAUGAAGUGAGAUGGAGAAAAAUGGUGUAGGUGGUUAAGUAACCAAAUGUACCUCUGCUAUAAAAGUAUGACCAAGUAGAAAACUCUAAGCUUAAUGUGAGAAGAGUAAGUUAGCUCAUGAAUAGAGUGAAUUUAACAUCCUAAUUGGGAAAACAUGAUUUGUAUAUAUCACAUCAUUAAGGCUUCACUCAAAAUCUAUACAGGCUUCGGUCGACAUGAAGCAACAAGCUUCCAGGGACACUUAACUGAUACAUAGAGAAAUUUAUACCUGCUCCAGCUCCAUCAUCGAGAAUAGCUUUUAAACAUGAAAUCAUGAGAAAUAUGAAACAAAAUAUUUUUGUAUUUUAUGUAAAACUUCUAAAGAAAAAGAAAACAAAAAGAAAACUAUUUUUGGAUUUUAUGAAAAUAAAAAAAUGAAAAGAAAAACAUAAAAAUGAGUAUGUAAAAGAGUGUACAAAAGUAUACAACCAAAAUUCCUUUUAAAGAAAAUAAAGUGAACCGAGUUCAGUAGGACCGAACCCAAAAUAGACCGAGUGUUCGGUUCAUUUCAGUUCCCGGGUGAACCGAACCCGAAAUAGACCGAGCGUUCGCUCUAUUUCCCUUUCAACCUUUAAUGAAGCGAAGCCGAUUUCGGUACUGAUGCAGCUUCCAUCAUUCCUAGGCCUUGUAGGAUCUUAUUGAAACUUGGUUUAGGUAAGGCCUUAGUAAAGAUAUCUGCUAAUUGAUCAGUGGUUCUAACUGUUGGGUUUUGAGCAUUCUAACACUCCUAUGUGUACAUGCAACCCUAAAUACCUUAGAUCUAUGUUUUCCCUAUUAUACAUGCAAAUAAGAACUUCCAAGGUAUUAUCCUAAUCUAGCAUACAAAACAACAAAUAUAACAAGAUAGAAUACAUACCUCUUUGAUGUAGAAAGUCUUCAUGAAGCUUGAGUGCCUAGUGCCCCAAGUGUGACACCUCAAAUGGUUCACACAACACCAAAUACAAAUGGAAUAACUUGAGAGAAUUCUACACUUCAUGAAAAUCAGCUAGCCCUUUCUUACUCUCUCUAGUGGCCGAUUUUGUUCAAGAAUAAGAUGCAUAUAUAGUUAGGGUUACACCAUGUAAACCCUAAUUGAGAUGGCCUUUCAUUUCUAUGAUCCAUGGGUACAAAUACACCAUGGAGCAUCAUAUGGGUUUUAUGUUAGUUUUUGAGCAAUCUAACACUUCCUAAGUGUGCAUGCAACCCUAAUAAACCUUGGAUCGAUGUUUGUCUAAAUACAUGAAAAAUAAUAAUUUUCCACGGUUCAUAACCUUUCUAACAUGGUAUGGGGUACUUUUAAACAUAAAAGAGUUAGAAGAGAUUAUAUACCUUUUUGAUGAGUUUGAUUCUUAUGGAGUUUGAGGGCCAAGCACCAAUAAUGUGAAUGCCUCAAAUGGAAUCACAAAUCACCACAAACACUUGGAAAACUCUAGAGAGUGUACACACACUUGCAAUUUUCGGCCACACACAAGCACACACACUAGUGGCUAUUUCAUGCAACAUAAGCAUGCUUAUAUAGUGUACAUGGUUAGGGUGAAACCCUAAUAACCCAUGACCUUUCCUUUUCCAAGGAUCCAUGGGUUAAAAGCUCCAUGGAUCAUCCAUGGACUUCCAUACAAGCCUAGCCCAUUAACAAAUGAGUAUUAGCCCACACUAUAUAAAACCAAUAGCCCACAAUCUAAUUAGUCUUCCUUUUAAUCUCUAAAUUAAUUCAUAAUUAAUUUAAGACNCUAGUGGCCGAUUUUUCCUCAAUAAUAAGAUGCUUAUAUAGUUACACAAUUAGGGUAAACUCUUAAUUGUCAUGGCUUUCCAUUUCCUUGGAUCCAUGGGUACAAAUACACCAUGGAGCAUCCAUGGACCAUCCUAUGGGUUUUAGCCCAACUUGAUUAUCCAUGGAGCAUUAGCCCACUAUACAAGUAUGGAUGAUUUACACAAUCAACCCAUAUAUUUAAUUAGUCUUCUUUUGAUCACUUAAUUAAUCCUAGAUUAAUUCUUGAUCAAUACUAAUUAAAUAAUCUUAUUAUUCUUAUUAUUAAUAUACUAGAACUUAUAAUAUAUUAAUAACCAUAAGUGUCUUAUUUCUCUCAUUAUAGUCUAUCCAAGUGCAUGAUGCCAUGCAACCCAAAUGGACCAUGUCGGGUCGGGUCAAGUCUUACCAAUUAUAGUUAUACACUUAGACAUUAAUCCAACAGUCACCCACUUGGAUUAGUCUAAAACUAUUAUUGCGUAUGACUUCAGGAACCGACUGGCAAUCGUAGCUCUCAAAAGCUUCUGUCGAACUCUGACCUUGUCGAUGAACUCUGACCUUUGUCAAUGACUUGUCCAUUAGAUAAGGGAUCAUAUAUUCCUCCAUUCUAGAUAUCAUAUGGACUGAGACAUGGAUUAUAAUCAUUCUCUCUGUCCAUUUGUUGUUUCCCGAUUUCCGAUUUAUGACGACUGACUAAUUGAACAAAUCAAAUCAGUCCUGGCCCGGCCGAGCACUUCCAUUUGUCAUCAUCAAAUCAUCGAGGGGCCCACAGAUAUCGCUUUUAUCCCGAAGGUAAAAGGAAUGGAUAAACUUCGACUCAUAUGGCUUGUUCUACUACUUGUUGAAUCAUACACAAAGGCACGUUUUAUAGCACCGAGUUACCAAAUGCGUUUUCGUGCAAUCAAUGUACUAUCAACUCAUAGUAACAACUCAUAUCUCUAGGUUUGAAGAAUAUAAGAUAUUAUCGUCUCAUGAUCACUCGUGAUAAAAUCCAUGAAGUGAUUCCAAUGAGCGCGGGUUGAAUCCAAUACUCAGAACUUAUGAGCACUCAUGAGUGUUGUAGCCCUUUGUCCAACACCUUAGACCUCUACAAGCCAACCCAUGACAGUCUUAAUUCAUAUCUACUUCCAACAUAUGACCGACUGUGGAUGGUUUGAAUAACUUAGUCAUUCCGGAAGAAUAACCUAGUUUAUUCGGGAAGUCAAAACAUGCAAAGUGAAACACAAUAAUAAUUGAAUCCAAUAUGGUAUCAAAACUUUGAACAUAAAUAAAACACCUUUUAUUUAUCACCAUAUGAUUACACAUUAUUCAUUGUAUACUGUUUCAGCUAUCAACUUUAUUCUUGAAUUUAAAACAAUAGUUGUCCCAUGCUCCAAGCAUGUACACUAUGUUUUCUUAAACACUAGUCAUGCCACACACCAAGUAUGCAUACUAUGUUUGUCUAUGAUCUUUACUUUGUGAACUAGAUCAAUUGAACAUAACUUCAAUGAUUCUCUUUUCACACUCCCAAAUCCUUACUGCAAAUGCAAGAAUUCCAAAUUCAUGCCAUUUACUGAAAUCUGUUAGAUUCUAAACUUAUAUGCAUUGAUCCUCUUGUAAUGAUUAUGCACAAAGUCAGAAAGACUUGACAACAAUCAUUACAGAGUAUUCCAAAGGAGAUCAGCUCCUUGGAAACAUCCUUCUUGCAUUAAGUUUCCUAAUCUUAAACAGAUUGAAAAUUCUAACUUUGAAACAUUUCCAGAUUCCAUUUUGACUAUCACUUCUGAACAAGAGUUGCCUCCUUACAGAUUAUGUCAAUAUGGUCCUUCCAGAAUUAUCACUAUACUUCCAACUGUCCUUGAGCAACCAAUCUUUGGUAAACCUUAGAUUGUCCUCGACAAUUGUUUAAUCCUUUUAGUCAUAUCCAGUUCUAAACCUUUUCCCUUCUUAAUGCCCCAGGCAUUUGGAAAAUUUUAGAACGGAUGAAUAUAGCACAUGUAAUCGAUCCUAUAUCCGAAGCAUAUGGGACACGAUUCAUGAUGUCUCACAUAAAGACUAAACCAGUCUUUUGCUAUAACAUUUCCAUUUCAAUUUGCCAAGUUCUCAUAAUUCAGAUUAUGAAAAGGGAUGCCGUAAUCAUAAUCGAAUUUUAGAACGCAAAUAAUGGACCCAUAUACAGAAUUUCCUUAUGUUGAGCCAUUCCAACAUGAAAUUCAUAUAUAUCCUUGACUAAAUGAUUAAAACCUCACGAUCUAAGCUUAUAGAUUUGAGAUGAAGUAUAAUUUCCUCUCCCUUAAUUAUAGCAAAACAACUUUUUCCCAAUUGAAACUUUUGUUUUCUAUAAUUAACAUUGCUAACUUGCAAUACUUAUCAUAAUUAUCAUGCUCCCACUAACAUGAUGAUUAUUAGCAUAACACUUAUGCUCCCACUAGCUUUGACAUGUACUCAGAAAUCAGCUGGACUUCUAGAAAUCAAUACUUCAUUGACUUUCUUACCAAAGUUCAGAUUUCUGAUGCUAGAUUGUUUUGAUAAAACUUUAUCAAAAUCAUACACCUUCCCUUAGAUAGCACACUUGUGUGUCUAAACAAUUAUGAAGAGGUAUGCCGUAAUCAUAAUGGUUAGACCUUUUUGCCACUUCUCACAAGUCCAGGUUAGUGUGCCGGUAAACCACACACGCUCCACUAACGACUUUGAGAAUGCAAAUAUCACAAUUGCUAUCUAGCUAAAAUCUACUUAGUGAAAGUGUUUCCUCACCAUCAUUUUCAUGAAUCGGAGAGAAACCUUAUGACACUUAGAUUUAAUGGUGUAUGUGUUCUUAUCCAUGUGAAUUGUCAAAACCAUAGUCACAAGACAAGGAUAAUGACAAAUCCAAACUCAUAUGGACUGAACUCAAUCUUAAUUUCUUGCCACCUGGCAGCUCAAGGGCCUGCCAUUGCUUCCAAGUUGUUGUGCAACAAAUUGAGAACUCUAAGAACUCAUAUGCAAAGCCAACUUUAACU
RNAcentral lists this long non-coding RNA (37118 nucleotides) under Lactuca sativa (garden lettuce). RNAcentral describes it as "long non-coding RNA (LSAT_LNC003190)". Lineage: Eukaryota; Viridiplantae; Streptophyta; Magnoliopsida; Asterales; Asteraceae. The record is from RNAcentral.